Molecule: ribosomal RNA, 253 nt
Filed under: uncultured bacterium
Lineage: Bacteria
Description: partial 16S ribosomal RNA
Rfam family: Bacterial small subunit ribosomal RNA
Source: RNAcentral
UACAGAGGUGGCAAGCGUUGUUCGGAAUUACUGGGCGUAAAGGGCGCGUAGGCGGCCUUCUAAGUCAGACGUGAAAUCCCCCGGCUUAACCUGGGAACUGCGUCUGAUACUGGAAGGCUUGAGUGCGGUAGAGGGAGGUGGAAUUCCAGGUGUAGCGGUGAAAUGCGUAGAUAUCUGGAGGAACACCGGUGGCGAAGGCGGCAUCCUGGACCGACACUGACGCUGAGGCGCGAAAGCUAGGGUAGCAAACGGG